This 253-nucleotide ribosomal RNA is filed under the name uncultured bacterium. Its description in RNAcentral is "partial 16S ribosomal RNA". It matches the Rfam family "Bacterial small subunit ribosomal RNA", at positions 524 to 776 of the family's 1533-position model. The record is from RNAcentral.
UACGAAGGGUGCAAGCGUUAAUCGGAAUUACUGGGCGUAAAGCGUGCGCAGGCGGCUUUGCAAGACAGAUGUGAAAUCCCCGGGCUCAACCUGGGAACUGCAUUUGUGACUGCAAGGCUAGAGUACGGCAGAGGGGGAUGGAAUUCCGCGUGUAGCAGUGAAAUGCGUAGAUAUGCGGAGGAACACCAAUGGCGAAGGCAAUCCCCUGGGCCUGUACUGACGCUGAGGUGCGAAAGCGUGGGGAGCAAACAGG